UACAGAGGGGGCAAGCGUUGUUCGGAGUUACUGGGCGUAAAGGGCGCGUAGGCGGCCUUCUAAGUCGAACGUGAAAUCCCCGGGCUCAACCCGGAAACUGCGUCCGAUACUGGAAGGCUUGAAUCCGGGAGAGGGAUGCGGAAUUCCAGGUGUAGCGGUGAAAUGCGUAGAUAUCUGGAGGAACACCGGUGGCGAAGGCGGCAUCCUGGACCGGCAUUGACGCUGAGGCGCGAAAGCUAGGGGAGCAAACGGG
This 253-nucleotide ribosomal RNA is filed under the name uncultured bacterium. RNAcentral's name for it is "partial 16S ribosomal RNA". It matches the Rfam family "Bacterial small subunit ribosomal RNA", at positions 524 to 776 of the family's 1533-position model. The record is from RNAcentral.